RNAcentral lists this microRNA (22 nucleotides) under Drosophila mojavensis. RNAcentral describes it as "Dmo-Novel-2_5p* (star (passenger))". The record is from RNAcentral. Lineage: Eukaryota; Metazoa; Arthropoda; Insecta; Diptera; Drosophilidae.
UUCGCGGUGCGGCUCAUUUGCG